Molecule: unclassified non-coding RNA, 23 nt
Filed under: Chlamydomonas reinhardtii
Lineage: Eukaryota; Viridiplantae; Chlorophyta; Chlorophyceae; Chlamydomonadales; Chlamydomonadaceae
Description: small RNA Cre_3405
Source: RNAcentral
UGGGUAGUGUGGCGGCAGGCAGC